AAGUUGCUGUUACUUUAAAAUAAUAAAGAUGACUUUUCUAUUUUAGUACACUUUGUUGGCAAACAAAAAAUAAUAAUGAAGAAGUACAGAGAUAUCAACAUCCUUGAACCAGAAACUGAGAAUCAAAGACUAACUUUCAGAGCUUUUUGAGAGAUUUAUUUCAGGAUGAAGUAUCUAUGCAAAUGGACAGAAUCUUCUAUCCAUGGGUGGCCCUAGUCCUUGUGGAAUGGUUGGAAGACUUCAUCUUACUAGGGCACUGCAAGAUUUUGGCCUAUGCCCCAUAAGACCUCUGACUAACAUGGCUGCUACUCUGAAACCUGAAUUUACUCUCUGUAUUUUGUACAAUAACUCCUCAUUGGACAAUUGAAUCUUCAGUGUCAUUAAUUUAGAAGGAUAUUUACCAACUUGCAGGAGAAAUCUGGAAAUAUUCUCCUACGAAAUGUUGCCCUGAUUUCUUCUUAUGUAUUUGAGUUCUUCUAGCUAAAUAACCAGUCUCCACAAACACCAAACUAUCUCUACUUUCUCUCUCUGAUGACAUGUAGAAGCGAUUAUACUGGGAAUUUGUUUCAUUGGCCUCUGUCCUUUGCAUACUAGCUCAGGCUUCCAUUUUCUUUAACGUUGGCUAUCAAAUAACUGUUAGAUUGUAACAACUUUUGGUUACCUCUGACCUGGUCUGGUUUUAGACCAGUGACCUAAGUUUUAAUCUCAUUUGCCAAAGCUCUCUGUUAUGUAUUGCUUCCCCCCAUUAGAUACUUGAUUAGCUUGUCAUUAUAAACUAACGGAGAAUGCUAUGUGUGGUUUUUUUCUAAUGUGGCUUGAUUUAAAAUUUUGGCUAAGAAGUUUCAGCAGUCUGUAUUCUGCUUUUAUAAAAUCUCUGAACCAUUCUGUCAUUACAACUUUGCUAUAAUAAAUCACUGACAUUUUUUCUACA
Long non-coding RNA from Dermochelys coriacea (leatherback sea turtle), 931 nucleotides. RefSeq lists it as uncharacterized. The record is from RefSeq and is a predicted model, not a curated record. Lineage: Eukaryota; Metazoa; Chordata; Testudines; Dermochelyidae. The transcript has 3 exons.